UGGCAAGAACGCUCCAUGGAUGUGGCUGAAGGCGUUGACCGUCUUCGAUAGCAAAUGGAGCUGGGGUUCAGCGACUCUUGCCUACUUGUACCGACAGCUGGAUGAUGCGUGUUGCAGGAUCACACCUAGUGCAGGCAUUGGUGGUAAUCUGCUUCUACUUUCUGUAUGGAGCUGGGAGCGUCUGCCUGUUGGACGCCCGAAGAGCAUCAGGUUUGAUCCUUGGUAUGCAGAUGAACAUGACGAAUUAUGGCGCCCCACGUGAGCUUACAAGUGGGAUAUCGUUUCCGAGAUGACGAACGAUGUCAAUCUCAUGUACCAAAAGUACAUUGCCGAGUUGGACACGAUUACGCCUGAGCAGGUGGAAUGGCAGCCAUAUGGCGCGGGUGAGAGCUUGGGGUACACCGCGGAGUUCUGCCUCAACCCGAUGUGCUUGCGGGAUAAGGAUCUCUGGCUUAUGCAGUGCCCAUAGAUAUGCAACUGGGCGGUUGAGUUUCAUUUUCCGCAUCGCGUGUAUCGUCAGUUUGGUCUUUUCCAGCCUCACCCGCCGGAUUGGGUGGACACGGAUAAAGCACUUCAUAGGUUGGACAGGAGAAGGCAACGGAAGAUAAAGGACUGGGCCAAGCAUCAUUCUGCGUAUGUUACCCGCUUCCAGCUUUGUGUGGAGCAAGCUCGUAGCACUGCACGCGCCCCGCUUCAUGAGCACAACUCACUUGCUUUUGAUAACUACGUAUGAUGGUUUAUUGGAACUACUCGAGUUGAGAUAUGCCCGCCGGCAUAUAAUGAGGAUAUUCUUGAAGAACCCGUAAACUUUGAGGAUCUAGCAAAGGGGAAGUACAACAGAGAUGUCAGGCUAGGGCAAGGAGUGCCUGCUGUUCCGUCGAUUAAC
Molecule: long non-coding RNA, 886 nt
Organism: Triticum aestivum (bread wheat)
Lineage: Eukaryota; Viridiplantae; Streptophyta; Magnoliopsida; Poales; Poaceae
Exons: 4
Source: RefSeq, a predicted model, not a curated record